Molecule: ribosomal RNA, 508 nt
Filed under: uncultured bacterium
Lineage: Bacteria
Description: bacterial SSU rRNA
Rfam family: Bacterial small subunit ribosomal RNA
Source: RNAcentral
GACGAACGCUGGCGGCGUGGAUUAGGCAUGCAAGUCGAACGGUAUCAUCCUUUCGGGGGUGAGAGAGUGGCGAACUGGUGAGUAACACGUAGGUUAUCUACCCUCAAGACGGGGACAACCCAGGGAAACUUGGGCUAAUACCGGAUGUGAGCAACUUUUAGUUGUUUGAAAGGUGGCGUAAGCUGUCGCUUGGGGAUGAGCCUGCGUCCUAUUAGUUAGUUGGUGAGGUAACGGCUCACCUAGGCAAUGAUAGGUAGGCGGCCUUAACGGGUGUCGCCCACACUGGGAUUGAGAUACGGCCCAGACUCCUACGGGAGGCAGCAGUCGAGAAUAGUCUACAAUGGUCGGAAGACUGAUAGUGCGACGCCGCGUGAACGAUGAAUCCCUUCGGGGUGUAAAGUUCUUUUAUAUGUGAGCAGUGCUUCUUAUAUUAACAGUAUGGGGAGAGAGAUAUUAGCAUAUGAAUAAGCAACGGCUAAACUCCGUGCCAGCAGCCGCGGUAAACACG